GAAUGAUCGAGCUGAAGCAUAAGUUCAGAAUUCCAGUCAGACUAUAGUUUGCUGCUUUACAGUCGUGAGUACAUUCUAACAUUAUUUUCAAAGAAAAUUUAUUGUCAUUCUUCAGACUUAUUUAUAGCAGUGUUAAAUGUCCUUAGCCAAGCAGAGAAUUAUCCGACAGAACCUGCACGAGCAAACAGCAAUAUAGCCAAAAUGUUCCCUCUCGCAUCAUUGUGCAAGUGAAGAAAAAUAUUCUUCUUUUUCUGACCCGAAAGAACUCAAGAACAAUGCUCCCGGCUCCAAUCUUUUUGCAUGUGGUACUGUUUUGGUACCUUAAAAUCUUCAAAGCAUCUAUCCAGAAUGACAAUCAAAUCCAACCUCUAAUCAAAUGCAUAUGGAUCAUCUGCAUAUGGAUUUAAUGAUCCUUCUGAAAACAAAUCGCCAAUGUUUGACGGAUGUGGACGACCUCCUCCCUUAAUUCCCUUAACAACACUUCUAGGAGUUAUGAUCUUCGGUGUAUUAAUCUUCUUGUGUUUCCUCGGGUCCUCAAACAUAACUGUACUUUUUGUCUUUCUUCGUUUGGUAAUUGUUCUUCCAUUCGCAGUUUCAACUUCAUAUUCACGGUGAGUUACCUUCUUGUGAUGCUUAGGGAUACUCAUUACACUUCCUGUGUUAGCAUUGUCUACUUUCUUCAAUAUUUUUGACACUGGUGUUUGUGUUCCACCCGGGAAAGGUAAAUCCGGAGCAGGCUGACUUCUUUUGCCACCACUGGCACCUCUCAUCUUGAUUGAUGAAAUGGAGUAAUCCUUUUUCGAAGUCACUUCUUGGUCACCUUGUGGCUUAUCGCUCAUCACUUUCCACUGCAAUUGCAGCAAAGCUCUUUGCCUGUCUUCCUGCAUUGUACCAUAAUCACACUAAAACCAACGUCUCAGUUCAUUUAAUUUGACAUAGCAUUUGAAAGAAAUGCACACUUUGGACUUCUGAAGAUCCAGUUCUUCUUGCAGCCUCCUGCACUCAUCUUCAUGCUCACACCUCAACGCUUUCAUUUGAACUUCAUGUUCAUUCUUGAGUUGCAUUGUUUUCUCUCUUAGUUCAUUUUCAGCUUGAAGCUGGGCACGCUUUAGCUCUUCAAUGUGAUCAGCUUUCAAACACAUUUCCUUUCUAUCAUGCUCCUGCUGAAUACGCAAGACUAGAGAAGCAUGUUCCUCCUGAAUGCGCACUAGCUGUUGCCUAGAUUCUUCUUUGCAUUCUGCAAGUGUUUGGUCACAUUUUGUUUGCAUUUCUUGUACAACUUUGUCUGCCUUUUCUUUCUCCAUGUUAACAAUCUCUAGCUUCUCCACUUCAUAGUUCUUCCUGAUGUCAUUAAUUGCCUUAUCAUUCCUCUGAGAUAUUUCUUUCAAAUGCCUUGAUAAUUCCAAUUGUUUACUCUCAAGCAUCAAAUCAUGUUGUCUCUUUGCUUCAGCAAGUUUGCUUUCAGCAGCAGUCAGCAACGCCUGACUCUCAGUGACUUGGUCUUCAAACUUCUUCUCUCUAUUCUUGUAUUGCAGAAGAAGUUGUUCCUUUGCCUCUAAGAUGCUAUGAAGUUGGGCGAUUUGUUUCUCCAGUGAAUCUACGUGUUGCUGUUGUUUCUCGCUCUCCUUUUGCCAAGAAGCUAUAUCUUCUGCAUUUUUCCUUUCUUCUGCCUCUAACUUCUGACAAAUAUCUUUGUUUUCCAUUUCUAAUGUUGAAAUUUUCAGCAAUAAAUCUUGCACUGUAUUCUCAGAUGAUCUUGAACUUUCUGACAAAGUACCAAUUGUCUCCUCCAAUUUGGAAACCAAAACUUCUGCUUCAUUCUUCUUCGACAACAGCAAUUCAGCUUCAGACUCUAAUAUUUGAAUUCUCUCUCCCGCUACACGGCAUUCCUCAGAAAGUUGUGCCAUAACAGUCUCUUGGGCUUUCUGAAGUUCAAUAAUCUUACUAUUCAAUUCCAGGUUUACCAGUAGCAAUGCAUCUUUUUCUGACAACAUACUCAAGAACUUAUCAUGCAGCUGAUCAUACUGUUUUUGAGCACACUUAGCAGCAAGGUCUUUCUCCAGUUGGACUAACUUAAAACAAGUGUUAUAGAGAGAGUUUAGCUUAUCAAACUUGUCCAUAAAAUUCAAAUUUUGUUUAUCCAAUUCAGCCAAUUGUGCAGCCAAUAUCUGAACAAAACUUUCAAGAUUUUUUAUCUCCUGAAGUGACAUAGCCAAUCUAUUAGCAAAGUCAUUGCUGCUAAAUUGGAGGACACUCUUUUCAUUUUCCAAGUUUUCCUGAGUAGUCAUAAAAUGUUUGAUUUCAUCUUCCUUCAGUCCCAACUCAAGGCGCAUCUCUUCCAAUUUAUAAUUCAGGUUCUCCGUGGCCAAUCUAUUAGCUGCUACAGUUGCCUCAAAUUUCUUUAACAUGGCAUCUUUUUCCUCUAUGAGAGUAGCAGUUUUGGACUUUUCCUCUUUGUAGAUCUUAUUCUUUUCCUCUUUUUCAAUUUUAAGCUCUUCCAGCUCCUGCUUCUGAGUUCUGAUAGUUUCUUCAGCAGAGUCUAAUUUCAGAGACAAUUCAUUCAUCUGUUGGUUCAAAUUUUCAAUAGCGUUUGAGCUUGUAGAUAGUUUGCCUUCAAAAAUCUCCUUAUCUUUUUCAGCACCCUGAACCUGACCGGCUAAGUGCUGCAAAGUUUCAGUCAGUUGAUCACAAAGAGUCUUAGUUGAAGAGAACUUAGACUCCAAUCCUUUCCAUAGCUUCUCAUCCUCCUUCUGCUUUACUUUAAGCUUAGCAUUUUCGUUGAAGGCAUAUUGCAACUUUUCCUCUAACGCACCAAUAUGCUCCAUUGAUUUCUUCAACUUAGAGUUCGCUAUUUCUAGAUCUGUUUUGACGGAAGCUUGCUCUUUGAUCAAUUUCUCUGCAGUGAGCUUCAAAUUGGCAAAACUCCCCGAUGAAAAUGAAUCGGAAGAUGACCUCGAAGAAAAUGAAAGGUUCUUCGCCGAUCCCGACACCGGCCCCGAUAGCGAUUUAAACUGAUCCAA
Molecule: unclassified non-coding RNA, 3020 nt
Filed under: Hevea brasiliensis (rubber tree)
Lineage: Eukaryota; Viridiplantae; Streptophyta; Magnoliopsida; Malpighiales; Euphorbiaceae
Source: RNAcentral